RNAcentral lists this ribosomal RNA (508 nucleotides) under uncultured bacterium. Its description in RNAcentral is "bacterial SSU rRNA". It matches the Rfam family "Bacterial small subunit ribosomal RNA", at positions 28 to 509 of the family's 1533-position model. The record is from RNAcentral.
GACGAACGCUGGCGGCGUGCCUAAUACAUGCAAGUCGAACGGUCUUUUCUAUGGAAGCUUGCUUCCGCUGAGAAGAUAGUGGCGAACGGGUGAGUAACACGUGGGUAACCUGCCCAUAAGAGGGGGAUAACAUCCGGAAACGGGUGCUAAUACCGCAUAGUUUUCUUGAUCGCAUGAUCGGGAAAGGAAAGACGGCCUUUGUGCUGUCGCUUAUGGAUGGACCCGCGGCGUAUUAGUUAGUUGGUGAGGUAACGGCUCACCAAGACGAUGAUACGUAGCCGACCUGAGAGGGUGAUCGGCCACAUUGGGACUGAGACACGGCCCAAACUCCUACGGGAGGCAGCAGUAGGGAAUCUUCCGCAAUGGACGAAAGUCUGACGGAGCAACGCCGCGUGAGUGAAGAAGGUUUUCGGAUCGUAAAACUCUGUUGUCAGAGAAGAACAAGUUGGAGAGUAACUGCUCCAGCCUUGACGGUAUCUGACCAGAAAGCCACGGCUAACUACGUGCC